Long non-coding RNA from Molossus molossus (Pallas's mastiff bat), 232 nucleotides. RefSeq lists it as uncharacterized. The record is from RefSeq and is a predicted model, not a curated record. Lineage: Eukaryota; Metazoa; Chordata; Mammalia; Chiroptera; Molossidae. The transcript is spliced from 3 exons.
GUCGACCACUGCCUUUCUGACCACCAGCUCCCGGAGCCUCUGCGAUGCCCCCCCGGCCCCCCACGCAGGAGACAGACAUCUCGGCGAGGGGCCGCGCGCACUGCCCACGUUGCUCAGGCUGACCUGCAGCUCCCUCUCGGUUGCCCGAUGCCCAGAGCUAUGAACAGACAAGGCAAUCGAAGGACAAAGACAGAAGGACCCAGCAAUCUCAGACUCCAGAACUCCAGCCUGC